This 2615-nucleotide unclassified non-coding RNA is filed under the name Hevea brasiliensis (rubber tree). Lineage: Eukaryota; Viridiplantae; Streptophyta; Magnoliopsida; Malpighiales; Euphorbiaceae. The record is from RNAcentral.
GUCAAACCAACCAACCUAAUAUGAAAGCUUGUAUCUUUUGGAUACUUCACAAUAACAUUGUUCAAUGCUAGUUUUGCAGGUAACAUCAACUUGUAUUGGAUUUUAUUUCCAUACAGUUUUCCCACUCAAAUCAUUCGAGAGUCAUAUUUUAAAAGUUGACUCGUAUUACGUGUAAUUGAUUACACGAUUAAAGAUAUACAAUAUAAGAGUACAAGCUACCUUCUGGAAGGGAAAGACGUAUAAGUUUUCACUACAUUAUUCUUCCCUUGAUCCCCAUUGAGUUUAUUAGGAAUAACAAUACAAAACUACGGAAUAUGCAAACUAUCCCUGCCUUCCCCAACUGGCCAUCUUGAAUAAACUCAUCUUUUGCUGUCAUUGCUUCUCUACAAAUUAAAAUCCAACAUGCUGAGUGUACUGAGCAUAAGCUUCAGACUGCAUGGCGAUUGGAGCCCGUGUAACACGAUCAGGAAGAUCGAAUGCAUCAACAAGUUCCCUUGCAAUGUUUCUCACUUCGAAACUAAGAUAUUCUGUGAGCUUGUGAAUUGCCUUAGCUUUGUUUGGUGCCACAUAAUCAACAUUGCGGUAUGUUCCUAUGUCAUUCCAAAUUCGAUCCAAGGCAUAAAGAUCACAAGCAAGUUUCAAAGCAGCUCGAGAACUUACAUCUGGGCAAUUCUGCACUGCUUCAAUAAAUUUCGCCAGGAUCACCGAUUCAAUAUGAGAUUCUGCAAGUGUAAGAAGGUGAUUCAAGCACCGAUUCCAAGCACCAAAACCCCCAAGAGUUUUGGAGUGCUUGUGAAGUCGGACAGCAACACUUUGAAGUAAUCGAGAUGUUCGGUGUCUGAAGGCAUCCAACUGGAAUUUAGGAUCUCUCAAGUGCUCAACACCUUCCCAGCGUGCAGUUACAGGAUUUGGUUGAGACAGAUAUGCGGUCAUGGAUUCUUUCAAGUAGUUCCAUGUAACUGCCAGUGUCCCACCUUGGAACUUUUCCUUGUAUUGCUUUAAGAGAUCACCUGCUACCUGUUGUAGAAGCACUGUGUUGUCCCCCUCGAAUGUCUGAAAAAUAUCAUGAUCAUUCCUCAAUGAACCAAACCGGUUGACAGCAGCAUAGCCAUGUCCUCCACAGGCUUCCCUGCAGACACUCAAUGACUUUGCUGUAUAUGAUGUCACAUAUGCCUUAAGGCCAGCUGAAAGCGAAUGGACAUCACCAACUAAUUGUUCAUCAUGAGUCUUUUUCAUCUCCGAAUAUUUUUCUACCAAAUGCAAUGUAGCAAAAUGGAAUGCAUAAGUUGAAGCUAGCAUUGGCAUGAGCUUGUGCUGUUGAGACUGAUAAUCAAGAAUGCUAACUUCAGGCUGCUUGGGAGGGCCAAACUGCUGGCGCAGCAAUGAAUAUCUGAUGGCAAUUGUUCCAGCAAGUUUGAGCACACCAACUGAAGAAUAUGCAAGGCCAACCCUUCCACCAACAAGUUCGCCUAGCGUAGCAGCAAAUCGCUUAUUUAUGGUUGGAAGGCUACUGGUGUACUUCCCAUCUCGAGACACAUCUCCAAAUCGAUUAAGAAGAUUGUCUCGGGGAAUUCUUACUGAACUGAACCUCAAUGCUCCAUUAUCUACCCCAUUCAGGCCAACCUUGUGGCCACAAUCAUGUAUUUCAAUUCCUGGAAGCGUCUGGUGGGUCUUCAAAUCCCUUAUUGGAACAAUGAAAGCAUGGACACCCAUAUCAGAGACACCCUUAGAAUCAUCAGUAGGCAACAUAAGCUUGGCAAAAACAGUGGCAAACUUGCCAUGAACUGCAGCAUUGCCAAUCCACCACUUGAUGGCUCCAUCAUGAGGAGUGUUGAUAACAAAUUCAUCCGUAAUUGGAUCAAAUGUUGCAACAGUUUGGAGUCCUUGAACAUUUGACCCAUGAUAUAGCUCUGUCAUAGCAAAACAACCUGGGUAGUCCAAAUUGUCAAUACCAUCAAAGUACUUAUCCCUAUGCUUUUUAGUUCCUAAGUUAAGUACAGAGCCUCCCCAAAGACUAUACUGGACUCCUAGCUUGAUCCCAAGCGACAUAUCCACGGCCCCAACAGCCUCGGCAAUGGCAAAAUACUUAGCAGGAUCCUCCACCACAUACCUAAAAGGCCUAAUCCCAGCCUCUCUGAUCAAACCAAAUAACUGCCGCCAGCAAAGCUCCCUGUGCUCAUCUUUGGAAAUCUCCACUGGGGUCUGCAACUCCGGCCUCGAGUUGAAGUACGUAUACACCUUCUCCUGUAUCUCCCUGUGAUUGCCUCUCAUGUAAAAGGACAGUUUCUCUGUAUCCACCUCCAACUUGGCCCUGGCGCACGCUACCAUCCCCAGUUGGUGGGACUCGUAAAGAGGGCGAGGAAUUGGGAUGAGGUGGAAGGAAAGGCGUUGGAUGCGGCGAGAAACGAUCUGGGUUUCAUCGUCGGCCGUCCAAUUUGGGUUUUCUGGAUCCAUUACCGUUUUUGCUGAGUUUUAAGGAUAGGAAAAGAGAAAUGGGCAAAAAUUGAUCUCUGAGUCCAACAAUAGAAAGCUUUCUCUUCUCUACUCUUCUUUGCUUUGCUUAUACGGUUCAGAAGGUGACGUGGGGGUUGUUAGGAUUGACACGUGGGUUUGAU